UUGAAUAUAAUAUGGUUUAUUGUGACAUAAAUAAAUAUAUAUCGAAUGGAGAUACUUUGUUUUAGUCUAGAUUUGGUAGAGCAACAACUAUGACUUGUUUCUGAAUUAUCUGGAUUUCUAAUAAAUAAGAAAAAUAAUGGACUUAGUAAAUAUAUGUGGUUUUAUUUACAAUAAACCACAAAUAGAAGUUAAAUUCAUGCAUUCAAAAAUAUUGUAGAGUAAAAAUAUUUUUAAAUGAAUUACAUAAAAACCUCUCCAUCCUUUGAGAUAUUAUUUCUCUUUUCACCAUUUUCCAAAGUU
RNAcentral lists this long non-coding RNA (300 nucleotides) under Lathyrus oleraceus (garden pea). Its description in RNAcentral is "Pisum sativum (pea) long non-coding RNA (PSAT_LNC012990)". Lineage: Eukaryota; Viridiplantae; Streptophyta; Magnoliopsida; Fabales; Fabaceae. The record is from RNAcentral.